Molecule: transfer RNA, 73 nt
Filed under: Phycisphaerae bacterium
Lineage: Bacteria; Pseudomonadati; Planctomycetota; Phycisphaerae
Also listed under: 2 other names
Description: tRNA-Ala
Rfam family: tRNA
About the family: Transfer RNA (tRNA) molecules are approximately 80 nucleotides in length.
Source: RNAcentral
GGGGCCGUAGCUCAGUUGGGAGAGCGCCAGCUUUGCAAGCUGGAUGUCAGGGGUUCGAGUCCCCUCGGCUCCA